This is a non-coding RNA of Arachis ipaensis, 326 nucleotides long. The record is from RefSeq and is a predicted model, not a curated record. Lineage: Eukaryota; Viridiplantae; Streptophyta; Magnoliopsida; Fabales; Fabaceae.
GCUCACGGAGCUCAUGUCGGCGUCGCUCCCACUUCUCGCCGUCACUAUCCUCGCCGACUCGCCUCUCUGAUCUGCGGUCUCUGGUCUGUGCUCACCUUGUCAUCCCUCCUUCCUCCGUCGUCGUCUCUCUGGUUUAAAUCUUGAUUUGCAAACUUUCAAUGAUGAUGAAGAUGUUGAAAGUGAUCAAGAAUAAAGGUUGAAGAUUCAUUUAUAUCUAAUAUUGUAAUUUCUUUAUUAUGGUGUUAAAUUUGUAGUGAUCUAACACUUUUUUUUUUUUAAUUUCAAGUUAUUUGAGCUAAUGACAUUGUAUGAAUUUUAUGUUUGUA